UGACCUCAAAUCAGGUAGGACUACCCGCUGAACUUAAGCAUACAAUAAGCGGAGGACGAAUUCC
This 64-nucleotide ribosomal RNA is filed under the name Pallidohirschioporus biformis. Its description in RNAcentral is "Trichaptum biforme partial 28S ribosomal RNA". Lineage: Eukaryota; Fungi; Basidiomycota; Agaricomycetes; Hymenochaetales; Hirschioporaceae. The record is from RNAcentral.